AGAGUUUGAUCCUGGCUCAGAAUCAACGCUGGCGGCGUGCCUAACACAUGCAAGUCGAACGCGAAAGGGGCUUCGGCCCUGAGUAGAGUGGCGAACGGGUGAGUAACACGUGGGUGACCUACCUUCGAGUGGGGGAUAACGUCCCGAAAGGGACGCUAAUACCGCAUAACAUCCUGCUUUUGAACAGGUGGAGAUCAAAGCUGGGGAUCGCAAGACCCGGCGCUUGAAGAGGGGCCCGCGUCCGAUUAGCUAGUUGGUGAGGUAAUGGCUCACCAAGGCGACGAUCGGUAACCGGCCUGAGAGGGCGGACGGUCACACUGGGACUGAGACACGGCCCAGACUCCUACGGGAGGCAGCAGUGGGGAAUUGUUCACAAUGGGCGCAAGCCUGAUGACGCAACGCCGCGUGGAGGAUGAAGGUCUUCGGAUUGUAAACUCCUGUUGCCCGGGACGAAAAGCUUCGACCUAAUACGUCGAAGUCUGACGGUACCGGGUGAGGAAGCCCCGGCUAACUCUGUGCCAGCAGCCGCGGUAAUACAGAGGGGGCAAGCGUUGUUCGGAAUUACUGGGCGUAAAGGGCGCGUAGGCGGCCUUCUAAGUCGAACGUGAAAUCCCUGGGCUCAACCCAGGAACUGCGUCCGAUACUGGUUGGCUUGAAUCCGGGAGAGGGAUGCGGAAUUCCAGGUGUAGCGGUGAAAUGCGUAGAUAUCUGGAGGAACACCGGUGGCGAAGGCGGCAUCCUGGACCGGCAUUGACGCUGAGGCGCGAAAGCCAGGGGAGCAAACGGGAUUAGAUACCCCG
Molecule: ribosomal RNA, 800 nt
Filed under: uncultured bacterium
Lineage: Bacteria
Description: bacterial SSU rRNA
Rfam family: Bacterial small subunit ribosomal RNA
Source: RNAcentral